RNAcentral lists this ribosomal RNA (465 nucleotides) under Vreelandella stevensii. RNAcentral describes it as "partial 16S ribosomal RNA". It matches the Rfam family "Bacterial small subunit ribosomal RNA", at positions 338 to 795 of the family's 1533-position model. Lineage: Bacteria; Pseudomonadati; Pseudomonadota; Gammaproteobacteria; Oceanospirillales; Halomonadaceae. The record is from RNAcentral.
CCUACGGGAGGCAGCAGUGGGGAAUAUUGGACAAUGGGCGAAAGCCUGAUCCAGCCAUGCCGCGUGUGUGAAGAAGGCCUUCGGGUUGUAAAGCACUUUCAGUGGGGAAGAAAGCCUUGGGGCUAAUACCCUCGAGGAAGGACAUCACCCACAGAAGAAGCACCGGCUAACUCCGUGCCAGCAGCCGCGGUAAUACGGAGGGUGCGAGCGUUAAUCGGAAUUACUGGGCGUAAAGCGCGCGUAGGCGGUCUGAUAAGCCGGUUGUGAAAGCCCCGGGCUCAACCUGGGAACGGCAUCCGGAACUGUCAGGCUAGAGUGCAGGAGAGGAAGGUAGAAUUCCCGGUGUAGCGGUGAAAUGCGUAGAGAUCGGGAGGAAUACCAGUGGCGAAGGCGGCCUUCUGGACUGAAACUGGCGCUGAGGUGCGAAAGCGUGGGUAGCAAACAGGAUUAGAUACCCUGGUAGUC